AUUAUGUGUGCGACAGGAUGCAGGUCGGGCCUGUUAGCCCGGCUAAGGGAACUACCACACAGAUCACCACUGCCAAGCCUCAUACUCACCAACACCAGAUCGAUUGCGUAUAAAAUGGAUGAG
Molecule: long non-coding RNA, 123 nt
Organism: Etheostoma spectabile (orangethroat darter)
Lineage: Eukaryota; Metazoa; Chordata; Actinopteri; Perciformes; Percidae
Exons: 3
Source: RefSeq, a predicted model, not a curated record